Molecule: ribosomal RNA, 534 nt
Filed under: Paraphysomonas imperforata
Lineage: Eukaryota; Chrysophyceae; Chromulinales; Paraphysomonadaceae
Description: partial Bacterial small subunit ribosomal RNA
Rfam family: Bacterial small subunit ribosomal RNA
Source: RNAcentral
ACGGAGAGUUUGAUCCUGGCUCAGGAUGAACGCUAGCGGCAGGCCUAACACAUGCAAGUCGAGGGGCAGCGGGGAAAAGCUUGCUUUUCCGCCGGCGACCGGCGCACGGGUGCGCACCGCGUAUGGAACCUGCCUUGUACAGGGGAAUAGCCCAGGGAAACUUGGAUUAAUGCCCCGUAGUACCGUAUUUCGGCAUCGUUAUACGGUUAAAGCCUUCGGGCGGUACAAGAUGGCCAUGCGUCCCAUUAGCUGGAUGGUAAGGUAACGGCUUACCAUGGCUACGAUGGGUAGGGGCCCUGAGAGGGGGAUCCCCCACACUGGUACUGAGACACGGACCAGACUCCUACGGGAGGCAGCAGUGAGGAAUAUUGGACAAUGGAGGAGACUCUGAUCCAGCCAUGCCGCGUGCAGGAAGAAUGCCCUAUGGGUAGUAAACUGCUUUUAUACGGGAAGAAAAAGAGCUACGUGUAGCUUACUGACGGUACCGUAAGAAUAAGGACCGGCUAACUCCGUGCCAGCAGCCGCGGUAAUACG